GAGGCCUGCCUGCCCAGUGACAAACGUUCAACGGCCGCGGUAUCCUGACCGUGCAAAGGUAGCAUAAUCACUUGUUCCUUAAUUGGGGACUGGAAUGAAUGGCCUCACGAGGAUUCAACUGUCUCUUACCUCUAAUCAGUGAAAUUGACCUCCCCGUGAAGAGGCGGGGAUACAACAACAAGACGAGAAGACCCUAUGGAGCUUUAAUUUUCUGUCUUAACUACUAAAUAACUAACCCUACUGGGAUAAAAAAAAAGAGAAGUAAGUCAGUAAUUUCGGUUGGGGUGACCUCGGAAAAUAAAACAACCUCCGAAUGAUUUUAACCAAGACAAACAAGUCAAAGUAUUAAAAAUCAAAUUGACCCAAUUCAUUUGAUCAACGGACCAAGUUACCCUAGGGAUAACAGCGCAAUCCUAUUCAAGAGUCCAUAUCGACAAUUAGGGUUUACGACCUCGAUGUUGGAUCAGGACAUCCCAAUGGUGCAGCAGCUAUUAACGGUUCGUUUGUUCAACGAUUAAAGUCCUACGUGAUCUG
This 534-nucleotide ribosomal RNA is filed under the name Microtus thomasi (Thomas's pine vole). RNAcentral's name for it is "partial 16S ribosomal RNA". It matches the Rfam family "Bacterial large subunit ribosomal RNA", at positions 1850 to 2607 of the family's 2925-position model. Lineage: Eukaryota; Metazoa; Chordata; Mammalia; Rodentia; Cricetidae. The record is from RNAcentral.